UACGUAGGGGGCAAGCGUUGUCCGGAAUUAUUGGGCGUAAAGCGCACGUAGGCGGAUUGGCAAGUUGGGGGUGAAAUCCCGGGGCUCAACCCCGGAACUGCCUUUGAUACUGGGUGUCUGGAGUCCGGAAGAGGUGAGUGGAAUUCCGAGUGUAGAGGUGAAAUUCGUAGAUAUUCGGAGGAACACCAGUGGCGAAGGCGGCUCACUGGUCCGGUACUGACGCUGAGGUGCGAAAGCGUGGGGAGCAAACAGG
Molecule: ribosomal RNA, 253 nt
Filed under: uncultured bacterium
Lineage: Bacteria
Description: partial 16S ribosomal RNA
Rfam family: Bacterial small subunit ribosomal RNA
Source: RNAcentral